GACGAACGCUGGCGGCGUGCUUAACACAUGCAAGUCGAACGGUAAGGCUCCAGCUUGCUGGGGUACACGAGUGGCGAACGGGUGAGUAACACGUGGGUGACCUGCCCUGCACUUCGGGAUAAGCCUGGGAAACUGGGUCUAAUACCGGAUAGGACCGCACCGUGAGGGUGUGGUGGAAAGUUUUUUCGGUGUGGGAUGGGCCCGCGGCCUAUCAGCUUGUUGGUGGGGUAAUGGCCUACCAAGGCGGCGACGGGUAGCCGGCCUGAGGGGGUGGACGGCCACAUUGGGACUGAGACACGGCCCAGACUCCUACGGGAGGCAGCAGUGGGGAAUAUUGCACAAUGGGCGGAAGCCUGAUGCAGCGACGCCGCGUGGGGGAUGACGGCCUUCGGGUUGUAAACUCCUUUCACCAUCGACGAAGGGUUUCUGACGGUAGAUGGAGAAGAAGCACCGGCUAACUACGUGCCAGCAGCCGCGGUAAUACGUAGGGUGCGAGCGUUGUCCGGAAUUACUGGGCGUAAAGAGCUCGUAGGUGGUUUGUCGCGUCGUCUGUGAAAUUCCGGGGCUUAACUCCGGGCGUGCAGGCGAUACGGGCAUAACUUGAGUACUGUAGGGGAGACUGGAAUUCCUGGUGUAGCGGUGAAAUGCGCAGAUAUCAGGAGGAACACCGGUGGCGAAGGCGGGUCUCUGGGCAGUAACUGACGCUGAGGAGCGAAAGCAUGGGGAGCGAACAGGAUUAGAUACCCUGGUAGUCCAUGCCGUAAACGGUGGGCGCUAGGUGUGGGUUUCCUUCCACGGGAUCCGUGCCGUAGCUAACGCAUUAAGCGCCCCGCCUGGGGAGUACGGCCGCAAGGCUAAAACUCAAAGGAAUUGACGGGGGCCCGCACAAGCGGCGGAGCAUGUGGAUUAAUUCGAUGCAACGCGAAGAACCUUACCUGGGCUUGACAUAUACAGGAUCGCGCCAGAGAUGGUGUUUCCCUUGUGGCUUGUAUACAGGUGGUGCAUGGUUGUCGUCAGCUCGUGUCGUGAGAUGUUGGGUUAAGUCCCGCAACGAGCGCAACCCUUGUCUUAUGUUGCCAGCACGUUGUGGUGGGGACUCGUAAGAAACUGCCGGGGUUAACUCGGAGGAAGGUGGGGAUGACGUCAAAUCAUCAUGCCCCUUAUGCCCAGGGCUUCACACAUGCUACAAUGGUCGGUACAGUGGGUUGCCAGUCCGUGAGGGCGAGCUAAUCCCGCAAAGCCGGUCUCAGUUCGGAUCGGGGUCUGCAACUCGACCCCGUGAAGUCGGAGUCGCUAGUAAUCGCAGAUCAGCAACGCUGCGGUGAAUACGUUCCCGGGCC
This 1340-nucleotide ribosomal RNA is filed under the name uncultured bacterium. RNAcentral's name for it is "partial 16S ribosomal RNA". It matches the Rfam family "Bacterial small subunit ribosomal RNA", at positions 28 to 1380 of the family's 1533-position model. The record is from RNAcentral.